This 355-nucleotide small RNA is filed under the name Oryza sativa Japonica Group (Japanese rice). RNAcentral describes it as "sRNA Os01g0889601". Lineage: Eukaryota; Viridiplantae; Streptophyta; Magnoliopsida; Poales; Poaceae. The record is from RNAcentral.
GAAGACAAGCUACGGCGUGUGUGUGUGAUUGAUCUGACCUGCUGGUACUUGGAGAGCUCGAACUUGGCGCGGGCGAGGUCCUGCUGGAGCUGGCGGAGGUUGCGCUGGAGGAUGGAGAUGAUGGCGACGCAGCCGUAGACGGGGUCGCGGAGGCGCAUGUCGGCCUCGUAGGCGAGCGAGUUCACGGCGUCCUCGCGCUGGUAGGGGUGCAGCUCGUUCAGCAGCUUGGUCACGUUGCUCGCGCCGAAGACGCGGUGCACGUGGACGAACUUCUGCGGGUUGUCCGGCGGGAAGUAGGGCGCGAACACGCAGUCGGGCUGGCACUUGCGGCGGAGGAACUUGCACGCCGCGCACG